This 961-nucleotide long non-coding RNA is filed under the name Cricetulus griseus (Chinese hamster). Its description in RNAcentral is "lncRNA (ENSCGRG00015033789.1)". Lineage: Eukaryota; Metazoa; Chordata; Mammalia; Rodentia; Cricetidae. The record is from RNAcentral.
UUUUAAUUCAUUGUUUGGAACCAGCAAGUACCCAACAGUUUAGUCUAAACCUAAGUUUUAACCAAGAAAGUAUUCAUUGUAUGUGCUACCAAGGAAAUACGGUGGUUUGUCAGAUAGCACACUAACUAGCGUCAGCAUUACUAAUGGUGACAGACGGUUGCAAAGCUCUAGCAAAGGACUCCCCAGUGAGUCAGAGGCCUAUCAUCCAACUGCCUGCUUACCAGCUUUCCUUCCUGUGAGUCACUUUAAGGAACGCAACUUCUUCUUUCUGUUUUCACCUUUCCUCUGCUCCAAUCAGUGGCUGUUAAAGCCACAUUAUAAUUCUGAGAAGUAUUAAUAGAUAUGACUGGGUCUCUCCAGGACAGCUCUUAGAAUGGAAGUAGGAGAAUGGACAUAAAAGAAGAUGCUCAUUUACCAAAUUGGAGAUGUCCCCUGCUAUUCUUUCUCUGAGAGCUGUUGACCAUGAAUGUGGCAGUCAUCUCUCCUCCCCCAUGGUUGCUCCAUUUUCAUCCCCAUCAGCAGUGUCUAUGGAAGAGUUCCAGCUUCCACAAGCUCACCAACACCAGCUGUGACAAAAUACCAGACAAAAGCAACUUCAGGGAAAGAGUAUUUGUUUUGGCUCAUAGUUAAGCAGUGCAAUCCUCGUGGCAAGGAAGCUAGAACUCCAGUCUCUGGACCGGCACUGCCCUCAUCCAGGAUAGCACUUCUCACCUCACCUCAGUUAAGCCUUUCAGGAAACACCAUCAUGGACACACUGCAGAGGUGAGUUUGGAUAUUUUGGACCAGCAAGAUGGACCAGUGAGUAAAGGUACUUGCUGCCAAGCCUGAGGACCUGAGUUUGAUUCCCCAGGAACCAUACAGUGGAAGGAGAGAAUUGAUUCCCACAAACUGUCCUCUGACCUCCACAUGGACACUGUGAUACAUGAUGUCCACACACAAUAAAAUAUGAAAAAGGUCUAGC